UGGAACCAAACAUUUUUAGUAAUAUUUUUGACAAGAUGAAAAUCUACAACAGUGGCCAUUUUUCAGAGCAUGAAUAUAGGAAAUCAAAGAAUAUUGGCUUUCAAGCCUCUGAGCAACUGUGAGAAGACUGUGAAAACAUCAGGUGGAAACUCUGAAACCUUUCCAUGUGUGUUAUCCUCUCUGGAGGAAACAUCACCAUCAACGUCUAUACAGCCUUUCG
Molecule: long non-coding RNA, 220 nt
Filed under: Gallus gallus (chicken)
Lineage: Eukaryota; Metazoa; Chordata; Aves; Galliformes; Phasianidae
Source: RNAcentral